This 379-nucleotide unclassified non-coding RNA is filed under the name fungal sp. RNAcentral describes it as "partial internal transcribed spacer region". The record is from RNAcentral. Lineage: Eukaryota; Fungi.
AAGUCGUAACAAGGCUUCCGUAGGUGAACCUGCGGAACACGUAUCCAAACGUUAAUGAACCUUUAUUAGUGCGCCCCGUCACGUACCCGAGCCGUAGGAUGUGGUAAAUCAUUGCGUAGUGGUGAGGUUCUCUCAUUGCUACAGAGAUUAGAUUCAGGACCUACGGUUGGGUGACGGCUGCGAGCUAGAAGCGACUGGUAGCCUAAGCAAUAACUUGUCUGACAGUGUCAUGAAGCGUGCACUGGCCAACACGGCUGGUGUCAGGUCCCGGGCCCUCGUGGCUCCCUACCACCCCAUUUUCCGAGAAGAGGGCGAUGGCCAAGUGGCUGGAUACCCCAUAAAAAACGUACAACUGUUAACAAUGGAUAUCUUGGUUCUC